RNAcentral lists this ribosomal RNA (423 nucleotides) under uncultured bacterium. Its description in RNAcentral is "bacterial SSU rRNA". It matches the Rfam family "Bacterial small subunit ribosomal RNA", at positions 202 to 622 of the family's 1533-position model. The record is from RNAcentral.
AAGACCUUGUGCUUUUGGAGCGGCCGAUGUCUGAUUAGCUAGUUGGUAGGGUAAUGGCUCACCAAGGCGUCGAUCAGUAGUUGGUCUGAGAGGACGACCAGCCACACUGGGACUGAGACACGGCCCAGACUCCUACGGGAGGCAGCAGUGGGGAAUUUUGGACAAUGGGCGCAAGCCUGAUCCAGCCAUGCCGCGUGAGUGAAGAAGGCCUUCGGGUUGUAAAGCUCUUUCAGUCGAGAAGAAAAGGUCACGGCUAAUAAUCGUGAUCCAUGACGGUAUCGACAGAAGAAGCACCGGCUAACUACGUGCCAGCAGCCGCGGUAAUACGUAGGGUGCGAGCGUUAAUCGGAAUUACUGGGCGUAAAGGGUGCGCAGGCGGCUUUGUAAGUCAGAUGUGAAAUCCCCGGGCUUAACCUGGGAACU